Long non-coding RNA from Herpailurus yagouaroundi (jaguarundi), 1173 nucleotides. RefSeq lists it as uncharacterized. The record is from RefSeq and is a predicted model, not a curated record. The transcript has 3 exons. NCBI's taxonomy places the organism in Eukaryota, Metazoa, Chordata, Mammalia, Carnivora, Felidae.
UUCUCUUUUUCCAGUAUGCUCCUGAGUUCAUCUUUCUUUUAAAGCAGUGCUGACCAAGUUGAGGUAUUACACAUAAUCAAUUGGCAUGUGGUUUGCACAUUUUUUUUUUGCACUGGAAGAAUGUGGACAUGAAUUCCUGACUAUCUCAGUGUGUAAAAUCCUCAACAUACAAAUCUACGUAAAGUGCAAUCAUCAAAUCACGGUGUACUGCAUUGCUGCAGGAGCUGUAUAUAUGGACGUGAAGCACAUAUUAGUGCUAGGGGCAGUCAAGUACAAAUAGCACUAUAACACAGAGAGUACUCAGUGCUAUAAUAGAACAAAGAGCAAAGUCAUCCAGGAACAACACAGGAUGAAGAAACCAAAAGCAGAAUGGUUAAGUACCUUACAACCCCCCAUUUAGUAAGUGAAGGGGACAUAUUUGAAUGAACACAGGUAGCAUGUUCCAGAAACCUAUGGGGCAGCUUGAGAGGCAUCGCUUCGAUUUCCCUCCAAGAAAGUUGGCUGUUUGGCCGCAAGAAACACAGUUGGCUGACAGUGCCUCAUUACAAUAUCUAAAUUUUUGAACCAAUGUUACACUCUUCCCAGGCUUUCCCCAGCCAAUGAGGAGCAUGACAGAGAUGCUGGAGUCUGGCAUUUCUACCUAUUGUGAGUCUGCUCUAUGGGUAAUUUUGCUCCAAAGCUCCUUUGGCCAGAUGAGAAUGUGACAGAAUUCUAUAUCAGUUUAAGACUUUCUUCUCUUUUCACAGAAGACAGAUCUGGAUUGCAUUCUGAAGCCUCUUCCUGCACACCCCCUCCCUCCCUAAUUAAACUUCUGCAUUCCUAAAUCCAGUUCAUGGUCUGUUUCCCAGAGACACAACUCAGACACAGUCACUCUCAAUUACUCUGUGAUGAUGACUCCAAGAAAACACAGAAAAAAUGAAUUUGUGACUUAAUGAAAUUAACAAUGUGUUUUAUAUACUAUAUGCCAAACACUAUGCUAAAUGUUUUCUAUUUACAUUGUAUGUUCCUUAAGUGCUUAACAAACCUUAAAUGGUUAUAUGUAUUUUUUUUCAGAAUUACAGAUGAAGAAAACUUCUAAAAGCUAAGAAACUCACUCAAACCAAUAAACAAAACAGAAUUAAGAUUCACAUCCAUGUGUUCUUGAGUCCAUUACGACACCAAUUUUAAAAUAAA